Molecule: microRNA precursor, 69 nt
Filed under: Bigelowiella natans CCMP2755
Lineage: Eukaryota; Cercozoa; Chlorarachniophyceae
Description: miRNA EPrBNAG00000013388
Source: RNAcentral
GGAUGAUGAUGAUGAUGAUCAUGAUGAUGAUGAUGUUGAUGAUCAUCAUCAUCAUUGUCAUCAUGCUUU